This 253-nucleotide ribosomal RNA is filed under the name uncultured bacterium. Its description in RNAcentral is "partial 16S ribosomal RNA". It matches the Rfam family "Bacterial small subunit ribosomal RNA", at positions 524 to 776 of the family's 1533-position model. The record is from RNAcentral.
UACGGAGGGUGCAAACGUUGCUCGGAAUCAUUGGGCGUAAAGCGCACGUAGGCGGUCUUUUAAGUCGGGUGUGAAAUCCCUCAGCUUAACUGAGGAAGUGCAUUCGAAACUGGAGGACUUGAAUACUCAAGAGGGUCUCGGAAUUCCCGGUGUAGAGGUGAAAUUCGUAGAUAUCGGGAGAAACACCAGUGGCGAAAGCGGCUCACUGGACCACAACUGACGCUGAGGCGCGAAAGCUAGGGGAGCAAACAGG